UUUGGAUGUACUGAAUCACUAGAACCAGUUCACUAAAAAGAUUUGUUCACCAAAUCACUGAAUCAUUUUGUUGGAGAAGUCUGCGACUCUGACCUCCUGAACUGAUACACAGCUGAACGUUUCAGAAUUCGGUUCAAUUCAUAGCUUCUGGGACCAGGACACAAGAGUGUUUGUCUGUGUUGCUUUGGCAAACAGGUUUGUAAAAAUGAACUUGUUUAUGAGGCAAGAUUUUUUAAAUGUACUGCCCUAUGGUAUGCUAUUUAUUAGGUCUGCUCAGUAAAUUGGGGUCAGUGAGUUGAAUUGAACUGUUUUUUAUUAAAUGUGAAUUUUGUUUAACUGAAAAAAGAUAACUGGUCUAACUUAAAAGGAACUUUUUGAUAUUUCAGUGCAUUUAAAUUGAAAUUUGAUUGAUAUAUUUUAUUUGCAUUUCAAAAUUUUGCUUUAUUUUUAAUGUAUUUUCCUGGUAUUCUAUCAAGUAUUUUGAGUUUUUCAAUACAGUUGGUAUAAGUCACAUUUUUCAUUUGUGUCUAUUAAUUUCUACCCAGCUCCAGAGCCAAACCACUAGCCCAAAUCUUACCUUGUGUUAUAUGUAUAAUCAUUUAUAAUUUAAAUUUAAAAUUCAUAAAGCAUUAUCUAAUAUAUCAUAAUAUAAAUAUAGUAUAUAUUUCAUAAGUGUUACAUAAAUUGGCAAGCUAGCCAGGAGCUGGUUUUGAAAAUUAAUAGACAUAUUACGUGUCAAUCAUGGAAACUGUGAUGCAAGAGUCCAUAAACGUGCCAAACUCAGUGAAGUACUUAGAAAAGUACCAAGUACUUGGUUUCAUUAAUAGGGUUUUGCACAUUGAUAAUCCCAAGUCUGAGCAUCAUGGAAGUGCAAUCGUAGAGUUUAAUUUUGGUACUGCAAUGUAGUCACUUUCAUCUUUACUGCCUUUUCCAUAGUCUAUCUAAACUAGAUAUCACCUUCAAGAAUGUUCAUUAGCUGGUACUUACAGUCCACUUGCUUGCACAAGGGCCACCAAGAGCUGCAUUGAAGAAUUGCAGGCAAUCUCCAAGUUAACAGAAAAACCCCUAGAGACUUUGCUUCAAGAGGAACUUGCAAAGCUAACUGUUAUAACCCCUUCCUCCAUGGAGUCAAAAGCUGAUCUCAAACAGGAAAAAACAUCUCCCAAUAAAACCUGAAAUAAAACUUCCAGUGCCAGACCCUCAAAUUCAACCUCAACCAAACAAACCCCAAAAAAGUCUGACCACUGACUUUGCUUCUUUCUUUGUGCUUCCUACCACAGAAAAAUGUCCUUUUACUCUCCCAGGAGAUGCAGUUAGCCCACUUGAGAUCCAGAAAGUUGUUAUAGAGCACAUUGUCAAGACUGAUAAUGCUAUGUCCCAUGUCUAUGGCUUCUCCCGCCUUAGAGCUUUUCUGGAAAAAUCACACGUCAGUUAUGAAACUGAUUAUGAUACCUGGAGAACCAAUGUGGAUUUGUUUCUCACUGAUCCUUCUGUGUCCGAUUUGGAGUGUUCACGGCAGAUUGUAUAUAGUCUGAUGUCACCUUCUGCACCUGAUGUCUUCAAACAACUUGGUCCCCAAGCUUUGCCCAAAGCUUACCUUGAGCUUUAGACUCAGCAUACGGUACUGUAGAAGAUGGAGAUGAGUGUUUUGCAAAAUUUGAACACUUUUCAGAAUUCUGGUGAAGAACCUUCAGAUUAUUUGCAUCGUCUUCAAGUUGUUUUGAAUGCUGGGGCAGUGCUCUCAUCAGUGACCUCCAGCUAGAGCAGAGAAGAGACAACCUCCCUACCCUCGCAGAUCUUCUUCUCUUGCUUCAAGUUGAUGAAGAUAAGCAAGCAGCUAAAGCCUGUCAUAUGAAAAAAAAAAAAAGUAUAUAUACAAAACCCAAUUCCAUUAAAGUUGGGAAAUUCUGAAACAUAAAUAAAAACAGAAUACAAUGAUUUGCAAAUCCUUUUCAACCUUUAUUUAAUUGAAUACACUACACUAUUUUUUUGCAAAUAAUAAUUAACUCAGAAUUUCAUAGCUGCAACACGUGCCAACGAAGUUGGGAAAGGUGGCAAAAAAUACUGAGAAAUUUGAGGAAUGCUCAUCAAACACCUAUUUGGAACAUCCCACAGGUGAGCAGGCUAAUUGGGAAUUCCCCCAAAUUCUCAGUCAUUUACAAGCAAGGAUGGGGCAAGGUUCACCACUCUGUGAACAACAGUUUAAGAACAACGUUUCUCAAAGUACAAUUGCAAGGAAUUUAGGGAUUUUAACAUCUACUGUCCAUAACAUCAUCAAAAGGUUCAGAGAAUCUGGAGAAAUCACUGCCAUAGACCGUAUAUAGAAUGGACAGCAUCUGCCUCCUUGCUGGGUGAAGCCACUCUGAGAACAGCACCCUCUGUUGAUGGGCUGCAGUAUAAAUCCCGCCUCCGCCAGCAAAGCUUAUGGGACUGUGGACAAACUUUAGAAAUUUAUUACACAGAAUAUACAUUUUUCUCCCCCCUGCUUGUGAUGUUCACAUGUAAUUAUUGUAAGACUGGUUUGUGCUCAAGUCCUCUUUUUUUCUUUGAAGCUCAGUUUUUAAAGGUUAUUAGGGGGUUCAUGUUUUCUAUGAUUGACACCUGAUACAGCCUAUGGGCGUUCAGGAAUUGCGUAGCUCACCCAGGGGAUACGCUGUUUGAGCCGAGCGUCAUCACAGCGACUCUCGGCGACUCUCCUGCCGAAUGUGCUACUGCGCAGCGCUGGUUUCAGGAAAUGAAGAAAAAUCACGGAAAUACAGAGAGCUUUUUGGCUUCAAAUCCGUAUACAGGCGGUAGGCAGAACCAAGUUGUCCAUAGUAUAUACAGUUUAUGAUCAGUUCAUAACUGAUGCAAAGUGGAAAAGUGUUCUGUGGUCUGACGAGUCCAUAUUUCAAAUUGUUUUUGGAAAUAGUGGACGUCGUGUCCUCCAGGCCAAAGAGGAAAAGAACCAUCCGGACUGUUAUUGACACAAAGUUCAAAAGCCAGCAUCUGUGAUGGUAUGGGGGUGUAUUAGUGCCCAAGGCAUGAGUAACUCACACAUCUGUGAAGGCAACAUUAAUGCUGAAAGGUACAUACAGGUUUUGGAGCAACAUAUGCUGCCAUCCAAGCAACGUCUUCUUCAUCGAUGCCCCUGCUUAUUUCAGAGAGACAAUGCCAAGCCACAUUCUGCAUAUGUUACAACAGUGUGGGUUUUUAGUAAAAGAGUGCGGGUACUCGACUAGUCUGCCUGCAGUCCAGACCUGUCUGCCAUUGAAAAUGUGUGGCGCAUUAUAAAGCAUAAAAUACGACGACAGAAACCCCGGACUGUUGAACAACUGAAGCUGUACAUCAAGCAAGAAUGGGAAAGAAUUCCACCUUCAAAGCUUCAACAAUUAGUCUCCUCAGUUCUUAAACGUUUAUUGAGUGUUGCUAAAAAGAAAGGUGAUGUAACUCAGUGGUAAACAUGCCCCUGACCCAACUACUUUGGCACUUGUUGCAGCCAUGAUAUUAAUUAUUAUUUGCAAAAAAAAAAAAAAAAAAAAGAGAUUUAUGAGCUUGAAAAUUCAAUAUCUUGUCUUUGGAGUAUAUUCGAUUGAAUAUAGGUUGAAAAGGAUUUGAAAAUCAUUGUAUUCUAUUUCCAUUUCCAUCUAAUACAUUUACAUAUAUACAGUAUAUAUAUUGAUCGGUGAGAUAAGAACAAAACCAUUUAAAAACAGUACCAGAGAGGUCUACAAGGUGCCAAAGUCUAUUUACUAAAUGAGAUGGUCUACUGUGUGAGAAGCGGCGCUUACAUCCAGUAGAACCAACACUGUGAUCUUUUUGGUAUCUAAUGUUUUGCAUGACCAUGCGUAUUUGUGUCAGUUCGUCUCUGACUGAUCUAAUUGCCUUCAUGGUGUCCCUCUGUGUCUGAAGGACUCUAUUGGUGAGGACCCACCGCUAGGGGCAGGUGGGCCUGCAGUCAGUGUGCCAGACAUACUGGGAACCUCCUCCACCUACGCCUCACCCACCGCUCCCUCACUGACUGGCUAAACUCACAGGAUCCAGAACGG
Molecule: non-coding RNA, 4028 nt
Organism: Xyrichtys novacula (pearly razorfish)
Lineage: Eukaryota; Metazoa; Chordata; Actinopteri; Labriformes; Labridae
Source: the annotation of a GenBank genome assembly